This 72-nucleotide transfer RNA is filed under the name Thiospirochaeta perfilievii. RNAcentral's name for it is "Spirochaeta sp. P tRNA". It matches the Rfam family "tRNA". Rfam says of the family: Transfer RNA (tRNA) molecules are approximately 80 nucleotides in length. Their secondary structure includes four short double-helical elements and three loops (D, anti-codon, and T loops). The record is from Rfam by way of RNAcentral. Lineage: Bacteria; Pseudomonadati; Spirochaetota; Spirochaetia; Spirochaetales; Spirochaetaceae.
UUGGUCGUCGACAAGCGGUAAGUCACAUGGUUUUGAUCCAUGCAUUCGCAGGUUCGAAUCCUGCCGACCAAG